AUGCAGUCUCAUUCCCAUACUUUCAUUUUACGAGAUGAGAAUACUUCAAGGACAUUGGUUAAAUAUUUGAAACUGAGACAGGUUGGGUGGUACAGCCUAAUCAAAGGGAAUACUGGGCAGUACCGGACAGAGCAGCAGUCACAUCACAGAGAUGGCUUCACGUGUGAGGUCACUUCCUGCGAGGUCCUCUCGGUGCUACAGGACUUGUAUGAUACUAAACCUGAGAGUUUGGCUCAGGAGUCACGACUGAUAAUAUGUGAAGUUCCUCAUGAAACCAGAGACCAUAGGAAUUCAUUAUUGCUGGAGUUGAUGGUGUUUCUGUUUUAUAACCAUCUAAUAAAUUAGCAUUUAAUACUGAGAGAUUUCAUUUUAAGCUCCUAGAAUUGCUUUGUUUUAAGGAAAAUAUUUGCAGGCAGAGACAAGGGAAACCUUUCAGAAAAUGCGGGAGAUAAAAAUUUUAUCCAAGCAAAUGGAUCUUGGAUUUUGAUAUCAUUUUAUCUGUCAGAAUACUAAUCUGUGGUUAAAGAAAGUUUAAAUGUCAAAAAUGACUGAUCUAAAAUUCUCUUGAGUUCACCUAUUUUGUAUCUAUCUGUUUCUUCAUCCACCCUGGGUAUCCUUGUUUUUAAAUUCAUUUCAUAUGCUGAACAGAGUAUUAUAUUCAAAGUUUAAUAUUGAGCAAGACUUUCAUCAGAUGGACAGAUUUGCUUGACUGUCAAAGAAAAGAUAUAUUUAUCAUAUUUUGUCCAUUUGGUUUAGGUUGAGACCUUCAAAUAGCUGGCUUGGUAUUCUGCUUUUAUUUUCAAAUAUUCCAAUACAGUUAACAUAUUGGACAUUGUGGGAAUUCCAUAUUUUUGUUCUUUUAUCGACCUGAGUAUAUUUCUUUUUUUUUUCUAAAGAUUUGUUUUAUUUAUUUGAAAGACAGUCAUAGAGAGAGGUAGAGCCAGAGAGAGAGAGAGAGAGAGAGAGAGAGAGAGAGAAAGAGGUCUUCUAUCCACUGGCUCACUUCCCAAAUGACCACAAUGGCCAGAGCUGAGCCUAUCUGAAGCCAGGAGCUUCUUCUGGGUUUCCCAUGCAGGUGCAGGGACCAAGCACUUGGGCCAUCUUCUACUGCCUUCCCAGGCCACAGCAGAGAGCUGGAUCGGAAAUGGAGCAGCCAGGACUCAAACUGGUGCACAUAUGGGAUGCUGGCACUGCAGGUAGUGGCUUUACCCUCUAGGCCACAGCACUGGCCCCUGAGUAUAUUUCUUUUGGGGUGGGAUAUCAUUUAUUUAAAAUGAGAACCUGUGAAUCAGGUUCAAAUGGCAAGGGUGUGUGCGUAUGUGUGUGUGUAUGUAUGUAUGUGUGU
RNAcentral lists this long non-coding RNA (1345 nucleotides) under Oryctolagus cuniculus (rabbit). RNAcentral's name for it is "lncRNA (ENSOCUG00000035826.1)". Lineage: Eukaryota; Metazoa; Chordata; Mammalia; Lagomorpha; Leporidae. The record is from RNAcentral.